Molecule: long non-coding RNA, 1136 nt
Organism: Bubalus bubalis (water buffalo)
Lineage: Eukaryota; Metazoa; Chordata; Mammalia; Artiodactyla; Bovidae
Exons: 2
Source: RefSeq, a predicted model, not a curated record
GCUUCUGGGAGGUCUUCAGAACAGAUCAACAAGCAUGGCAGACACUGAUGCUGUAGCUACUGGCUAGAGACCAGUGCUGGGGACCACACAGGUCCUGCAGCCUGACAUAUUUUCUCUAGACUUGGAUGCCAACCCUGCAGUCUGGCUUACUAAACAUCUGCUCCCUGGCCUUCCUGAAUCCUAGGGUCUAACCUGUUAUAGCCAGAGUUUCUGAUGAUGGCUGAGGUAUGCCAAGUGGUGGUUCAUAUAUAAGGCAUGGAAGACAGCCGUGAAUAAGGUGGAUUCUUUACCAGCUGAACCAACAAGGAAGCCCAAGAAUACUGGAGUGGGUACCCAAUAGCGGAUCUUCCAGACCCAGGAAUUGAAUCAAGGUCUUCGGCAUUGCAGGCGAAUUCUUUACCAACUGAGCUACCAUGGAAGCCAGAUGCCAAUACAAAAAGCUCCAGGGAACCCCUUGAACCUUUCCAGUCCUUCUGGCAUCCGGUGAGUCAGGGACUAUGGAGACAGACCUGAUCCCCUCAUCUGCCACCUCAGGGAAUCCAGAGAGAGGUUAUUCCACGGGACACGCUCAGAACUGGCAGGCACGAGACUGUGAAAACCGUGCUUGCUUCCAAAGUACCAAGCUAGGUUCUGAGAAGAAAUAAAGGAGCAGUCUUGAGCCUGGACAUGGAUGUCAUGCUUCAGUAAUGAGAUGGGCUUUGGGCUUGGACAACCCUGGUUCCAGUUCCUACAUGGGUUUGUUGUGAAGACUGAGUACAGUAAAGCAUGCAAUUAACCUAUGACUAUGUUAAGGAGUAAAAGAUUACAGAUAAAUGUUAUUUUUAAUUAUGAACAAGUGCAAACAAAAUAUUUGUAUUUGAAGGGUCUCUUUUCAUUACAUCUCUAAUAUUCUAGGAUCUUUUUUUAAAAUUUUAGGAUCUUUUUUUUUAAUUAAAUCUGGAGUUCACUGAAAUUUAUAAAAUGCUCAUACUAUCUUCUCAGUUCAUUGGAGUUGCAUCAACAUAUAUUCAUUCAACCAAUAUUUACUGAGCACUUACCAGUGACAGGUACUCUGCCAGGAGCUGGAAAUACCAUGAGCUGCCAUGUACGGUUGUGUAAGCUGUGCUCUGUACCAUUUCACGUGUCUAGUCACACCC